GCCGGUAUAGCUCAAUUGGUAGAGCAGCGCAUUCGUAAUGCGAAGGUCGUAGGUUCAACUCCUGCUUCCGGCA
This 73-nucleotide transfer RNA is filed under the name Pantoea sp. Nvir. It matches the Rfam family "tRNA". From Rfam's summary of the family: Transfer RNA (tRNA) molecules are approximately 80 nucleotides in length. Their secondary structure includes four short double-helical elements and three loops (D, anti-codon, and T loops). Further hydrogen bonds mediate the characteristic L-shaped molecular structure. tRNAs have two regions of fundamental functional importance: the anti-codon, which is responsible for specific mRNA codon recognition, and the 3' end, to which the tRNAs corresponding amino acid is attached (by aminoacyl-tRNA synthetases). tRNAs cope with the degeneracy of the genetic code in two manners: having more than one tRNA (with a specific anti-codon) for a particular amino acid; and 'wobble' base-pairing, i.e. permitting non-standard base-pairing at the 3rd anti-codon position. The record is from Rfam by way of RNAcentral. Lineage: Bacteria; Pseudomonadati; Pseudomonadota; Gammaproteobacteria; Enterobacterales; Erwiniaceae.